This is a long non-coding RNA of Girardinichthys multiradiatus, 2224 nucleotides long. RefSeq lists it as uncharacterized. The transcript has 2 exons. NCBI's taxonomy places the organism in Eukaryota, Metazoa, Chordata, Actinopteri, Cyprinodontiformes, Goodeidae. The record is from RefSeq and is a predicted model, not a curated record.
ACGGGAUCUCUAUAAAAAGCCUACGGUUUGGUGGGAGAGCCCGUUAUGUAUUGGGAGACCGACUUUGGAGAAGACGGGCGGCAGUUCCGCGCGGAUAAAGAAAGACCAGGGUGGGAAAGAUGUUCCUGUGCAAAGCGCUGCCAGUCAGGAAACUUUAACUGCGACUUCCACAUGGAGGAGGACUUUGCUCCCUUUUUUACUUCUCUUCUUUUUCAUCCUGCCAGAGCAUCAGCACCUUGGCUUUAGACUGCUUACUGCUUAUACAGUGUCACAGUACAGUAACAGUCUACAGUCAUGGCUACUGAAGCCUGGCGAUUCAUCAAACAUCUUUGUGAAGACAACGUAGACCUGGAAAACAGCUCAAUGACAGUGCACAGUGCUUUUAAAAUGGCCGACCUGAUAGUGGAGUCUCAACGUGCGUGUCAGUGAUCUCUCUCUCUCUCCUUCUAUCUCUCCGGUGGUGUCUGUUUUUCCCUCCUGCUCAGAGAGGAAACCUGUGUGGGCUUGCAUUGGGGGAGUCCUACACCCUGUAAGUGCGUAAUGUUCACACUAAAACCAAUGAGACCUUGCGGUUUCCGGUUACCAUGCCAACUCCAGCUCCACCUCAACCCUCCUGUCUCCAUGGCAACCGUGGCUUUAGAUUGUUACUCUAGCAACAGCACCAUGGUAACAGUCUACAGCCAUGGUCGUUAGGGGCAGAUAUCAUCAGGAACAGAUAAGUUGAGGCCAAUAAGUUUUAUAUGUUGCUUGUUGAAGAAAAACAUUAAAAGGUCUUUUGAAAGCAGAGAUAUCUCAGAAGUUUAACUAGUCUAAAGAUUCAAUGUAAUGUCAAAUCAAGCCAUGCCUAUUUGUGUAGCACAUCUAAAACAGCAAUGUGCUGCAAAAAAAAAAAAAAUCUAAUCUUAAAAAAACACAUCAAACUUCUGUAUAAUAAUAAUACAAAUUAUAAUAAUAAUGAUGAUAAUAAUAAUUAUUAUUAUUUGUUUUUUAAUUGUACCUCAAUUAUUUAAAUUACUGCCAUUUUUCGAAUUUAAUGUCAAUAAAUCAUAACAUGUUCGAAAGAUGAACAGAAAAAGCGUAUUAAAAUUAUAAAAAUCUGAGGAAGUUUAUUUUUAAUUAUUUUUUUAUUUAUUAUUAUUUGAAUUACUUCUUUAAAUAAGCAUGACACUGAAUACAAAUCAUUAAAAUAUGAAUAUAACUGUUGAAAUCACAAAAACAACCAGGGAUAAUUAUUAAUAAUAAAAUAUUUUAAUAAUAAUUAUUAUUAUCGUUACUAUUUUUUAGUAAUUAUAAUUUGGAGUUUUGAUGGGUCUCAGUAGUUCCAUGAGGGUACUUGAGUUGACAAGAAUUGAUGUAGACAAUGACUAUGUACAUGGAGCUUACAAGUAAUAUUUUACAAACCAUUUGUUGUUUAAGUUGAAACUGCUGGAAAGUCUUUCAAAUAAAUGUGAAAUGUUGUCUAUUUUAUUUGUAAGUUUAGCUUUAGCCUUCUGAAAAGGUUCCAGUGUAAUUGAGCAUCAACUGUUUUUCUCAGGCCAGACUGUAUUAGGAAGAAUCUUGAUGUUCUAGCUUUGAUAAAAUUAACUUUUGGAUAUGUUAAAUAUAUAAUAGUUAGGAUCAAACUCUACAUUUCUACUCACAAGGUUUAACCAGCAGGUGGAGAAACGAAGAAUACAUUUUAUUUUUUUUUAUUUGUCAGAGUCAGAACCUACUAAAAUAAUCACUAUUUUGUUGUCACUCAGCUUCUCAAAAUUUAGAGCAAAUAUUUUAACUUCCACAGCCAUUUAAGACACAAGUGCACACAUUCUGUUAAUUUUUACGUUCUUCUUUAUUAAGUAUUUUUAAACAUUACAGUAAUUAACGCUAACAGUACAUGCUGCAUAGAUGAGUCAGCCGGCUCCAACACCUGUUCUGCUCUGUGUUUAUCAGACGAGAGUGGUCCUACUUGAAAGCAGCCCAGCAAAUAAUUCCCACUGAAAUCUGCAGGCAGAUCCAAACACACAUAUUAUGGGUCCUACACAGGUGAAAUAACACAUAUGCAUAGAAAUGCACACACAGAGACAUAGAUACUUUGUAUCAGCAUACAACAAACACACAUUUCCAGAAAGAGAAUCAACUUAAACACUCAACCUCUGCAAUAUCCAGAGUUAGCCUGCCCUCUAGAGGCCAGAUUUUGUCAGUGUUCUGAGAUGUAAUUUAUUCUAUUAAACAGUUUAAAAAUAAA